CCCUUAGAUGUUCUGGGCCGCACGCGCGCUACACUGGUGCAUUCAACGAGCCUAGCCUUGACCGAGAGGUCCGGGUAAUCUUUGAAACUGCAUCGUGAUGGGGCUAGAUUAUUGCAAUUAUUAAUCUUCAACGAGGAAUGCCUAGUAAGCGUGAUUCAUCAAAUCGCGUUGAUUACGUCCCUGCCCUUUGUACACACCGCCCGUCGCUCCUACCGAUUGAGUGUGUUGGUGAGGAGUUUGGAUUGGCCUCGGAAGGUGGUUCGCCACCGUCCGUAGCUGAGAAGUUCUCCAAACCGCCCCACUUAGAGGAAGGAGAAGUCGUAACA
RNAcentral lists this ribosomal RNA (326 nucleotides) under uncultured eukaryote. RNAcentral's name for it is "partial 18S ribosomal RNA". It matches the Rfam family "Eukaryotic small subunit ribosomal RNA", at positions 1470 to 1796 of the family's 1831-position model. The record is from RNAcentral.